CCUACCUCGUAAGAGAGAAAAAGAGCUCGGACCCUUUGGGGAUGUAUUCCUUGCAAUCCUUUUAGAUUACACUUGAUAAUUUCCUUUUCCAGCCCUCAAAUGCUUUUCCUGCCUGCAAUUCCAGGUUGUAAAAGUGAUAUCUGUUGUGAUCAAGGUUGGAUGAGCUUCAGCUGCGUCUCUGCAAAAGCAGGUAAUGCUCUUCACUGACUGUCGCUCACAGAUGCUGGAGCUGGCAGUAUCAGUAGUGCCCGGGAAGCCAAAGGAAACGGGUAAGGCUGGCAGAGGGCUCCAGCUUUAAAAAGCAAGGCCCUCAUCCUUCCCACAAGAAGCAGCACCAAAACCACCAGGAGCUAGACGCUAACCACUGAUGAAUUCAAAGCUGGGAGACCGAGCAAGAGACCGUGGGCAGCUGAUUACAUGAAUAUUCUCCGUACUAAAAAGGAAGGGAAAUGAAAGCAGCAAACAAGCUUGUUUUGGCUUUUUGUGAUCCCUGCUGGUGCAAAAGGACGCGAUGCCACCCCUGGAUUCUCCAUAAUGCAGCGUGCGCUGCCAUCAGCUAGCACAGCAAUCAUCUGCACUGUGGAUAUGGACCCCAACUUGAACACAGGGCUUGACAGUCCUGUCUCCAUGUCCAGAUCAAGUCCAUUUGGGCUAGUCGGAAGUUUCCCCAUCAGGAAAACUGAAAUGAAGUAUGUUGUUGCGGGUCAGUUUGCUGAAGGAACAGCCCCGUCGUGUUUCAGAUCAGUUCAGCGUUACACGGCAUCUCUCAAUGGUAGUGUAGCAUCUCACGGAUACUGCAGUUUGGAUGCUUUUGCCCUAUGUGCAGGGAUAAACCUGUCACAGUCUCAUCUCCAGCUCAGCAUCUUGGUGGCUCACGGGAGUAGUCGCCAGGCCAGGAAGCCCAGCUGGGGGGGAUGAACAAAAGCCGGAGGUGCCACGACACCACGGGGAGAUGCUGUCUCGUGCUGAACUGACUUGAAGCCAACACUGCUCUGAUGCAGGUUGGGACACAGAAACACAAACACCUCCGGGUUUCGGCCUGACGUUUUUGCAAGCUUCCCUUUCCAUGAGGAACGUCAACCUUUCAACUUUGUGGACUCUAUUUGGGAUGGUGGGGAGAAAAGUUGAAAUACCUGACUUUUCCCCAACAUGGGUUCAUUCUGAUUUCUGCUCAGUUCUCGUGUCCCUGCCUACAUGAUUAGAAUUGGCUCAAUUACCCGUUGCAAAUAAAUUACACGGUGAAUAACUUCUUCUUUUUCCAUUGACAAAACCCAGAAUUUUGUGAACGCGUUCGAUAAUGGUGUAACAGAGCUGGCAAAAAAAUAACUUCGUUUUGUGUCAAAAUCUGGGUUCCCCUUUACAUGACAGAGGAGAUAAAUCCACCGUGCGCCUCUUGGUUUUAUUUUAGGCUGGGAUUUUCCGAGGGAACUAAAAAAAAAGUUCCCGUUCAUGUCUCACGGAUGCUCCCCUCUGGCUGCUUGGGAAGUCCCAGAUUAAUGUGUCUUGUUCCACCACCCCCUUAUCACUUGCAGAUAACGACCGUUGGCAGGUGAAAUAUUUCAGGACUGACAGGUGAUAGAGAGCCUGGACAGUUUUAUGUUGGAAAGUUGUAGUUUCCAUGCUCAUUAUGAAGAGCAGAAGCCCGGUGGCCCUCAAGACCCAUUCUCUAGACACUGGCUAAUAGGUGGAAACAAUAUGCUGCUGAGAAGGAGCUUGACUGCCUAUUUGAGGGGUGUUGGUUGCAGCCGUGUUGGUCUAAGGACAUAGGCAGACACGGUUCUUUCAGUAAAUGUGACAGGUGAUAGAUAACCUGGACAGUUUUAUGUUGGAAAGUUGUCGUUUCCAUGCUUUAUUUUACGUGCUGGCUUCCUUUCCACCUAGGAGAGAACAUAAAGAAGCAACAAACUCUCCCCGUGCCUGAAGAAGGGCGUUUGUGCCCGAAAGCUUGCAAAGAACAAUUUUUUCCAACUAUUUAGUCGGUCUAA
Molecule: long non-coding RNA, 1985 nt
Organism: Alligator sinensis (Chinese alligator)
Lineage: Eukaryota; Metazoa; Chordata; Crocodylia; Alligatoridae
Exons: 3
Source: RefSeq, a predicted model, not a curated record